This 502-nucleotide long non-coding RNA is filed under the name Nicotiana tabacum (common tobacco). RNAcentral describes it as "long non-coding RNA (NTAB_LNC016511)". The record is from RNAcentral. Lineage: Eukaryota; Viridiplantae; Streptophyta; Magnoliopsida; Solanales; Solanaceae.
UUUUUCCUGCAUCCAACUCCUCCAUUUUCUCACCUACAAAUGGCGAUCUCUACAACCCCAACAUCCUUUUUCCUCAUCGCCAUCCUCGUACUCCUCGUACCCAUCAACCACUCCUUUUCCUCCUCCUCCAACGGCGGCGACAUUCACUCGGAGCUAACCGAUCUCCGAUCUCAAUCUCCCACCGGCGUAAUCCACCUUUCCGACCAACUCCUCCGGCGAAUCCUCACCGUUAAAACCCCACGACCCUUCAAUUUCGUCAUAUUCUUCGACGCUAAACAACUCCAUUCAAAACCUGAACUCUCACUCCCCACUCUGAAAGAUGAAUUUAACCUUCUAUCCUCCUCUUUUUACACAAAUAACCCUGAAAACGUCAAGCUGUUUUUUUUCACUAUCGAAUUUCAAGAAUCACAAACUUCAUUCGCUUUAUUCGGGGUUAAUUCAUUACCCCAUUUACGUUUAAUCCCACCUUCAGCUAUUGAUCUUAAAAAAGAUUCGAUUCAAA